ACGAACGCUGGCGGCGCGCCUAAUACAUGCAAGUCGAGCGAGAAGGUGUAGCAAUACACUUGUAAAGCGGCGAACGGGUGAGGAAUGCAUGGGUAACCUACCCUCGAGUGGGGAAUAACUAGCCGAAAGGUUAGCUAAUACCGCAUACGUUUCCGGGACUUCGGUACCGGAAAGAAAGCAAUACCGUGGGUAUUGCGCUCAUGGAUGGGCUCAUGUCCUAUCAGCUUGUUGGUGAGGUAACGGCUCACCAAGGCUUCGACGGGUAGCUGGUCUGAGAGGACGAUCAGCCACACUGGCACUGCGACACGGGCCAGACUCCUACGGGAGGCAGCAGUAAGGAAUAUUGCGCAAUGGACGAAAGUCUGACGCAGCGACGCCGCGUGGGGGAUGAAGGUCUUCGGAUUGUAAACCCCUUUCGGGAGGGAAGAUGGAGUGGGUAACCACUUGGACGGUACCUCCAGAAGCAGCCACGGCUAACUUCG
This 482-nucleotide ribosomal RNA is filed under the name uncultured bacterium. RNAcentral's name for it is "bacterial SSU rRNA". It matches the Rfam family "Bacterial small subunit ribosomal RNA", at positions 29 to 505 of the family's 1533-position model. The record is from RNAcentral.